GAUGAACGCUGGCGGCGUGCCUAAUACAUGCAAGUCGAGCGAACAGACGUGGUACUUGCUCCUCUUACAUUAGCGGCGGACGGGUGAGUAACACGUGGAUAACCUGCCUAUAAGACUGGGAUAACUUCGGGAAACCGGAGCUAAUACCGGAUAAUAUAUUUAACCACAUGGUUCAAUAUUGAAAGACGGUUUUGCUUUACCUUAUAGAUGGAUCCGCGUCUAUUUGGCUAGUUGGUAAGGUAACGGCUUACCAAGGCAAGGAUCAGUAGCCGACCGGAGAGGGGGAUCGGCCACACUGGAACUGAGACACGGUCCAGACUCCUACGGGAGGCAGCAGAAGGGAAUCUUCCGCAAUGGGCGAAAGCCUGACGGAGCAACGCCGCGUGAGUGAUGAAGGUCUUCGGAUCGUAAAACUCUGUUAUUAGGGAAGAACAAAUGUGUAAGUAACUAUGCACGUCUUGACGGUACCUAAUCAGAAAGCCACGGCUAACUACGUG
This 497-nucleotide ribosomal RNA is filed under the name uncultured bacterium. RNAcentral's name for it is "partial 16S ribosomal RNA". It matches the Rfam family "Bacterial small subunit ribosomal RNA", at positions 28 to 507 of the family's 1533-position model. The record is from RNAcentral.